This 381-nucleotide ribosomal RNA is filed under the name uncultured archaeon. RNAcentral's name for it is "bacterial SSU rRNA". It matches the Rfam family "Archaeal small subunit ribosomal RNA", at positions 474 to 853 of the family's 1478-position model. The record is from RNAcentral.
UACCCGCGGCCCGAGUGGUGCUCAUUAUUAUUGAGCCUAAAGCGUCCGUAGCUGGCCGUGCAAAUCUCCGGGGAAAUCGGACGGCCCAACUGUCCGAAGACCGGAGACACUGCUCGGCUCGAGAUCGGGAGAGGGAGGAGGUACUCUCGGGGGUAGGGGUAAAAUCCUGUAAUCCUGAGGGGACCACCAGUGGCGAAGGCGUCCUCCUAGAACGAAUCUGACAGUGAGGGACGAAGCCUAGGGCGCAAACGGGAUUAGAUACCCCGGUAGUCUAGGGGUGUAAACGCUGCAGACUUGGUGUUGGGGGGUCCUGCGUGGGCUCCCAGUGCCGGAGCGAAGGUGUUAAGUCUGCCGCUUGGGGAGUACGGUCGCAAGACUGAA